CGCGCCUGCCCGGCAGGGUCAGGUGAGCGUUGAGCUCCCGCAGACGCCCUUGGCCCUUGCAGAUGAGGAACUGGCUUAGAGCUGCGGCUUCUCCUCCUGGAAGGUGUCCCCAAGACAUUGGCAGCCAUUAGUUGAAACAUUCUUCCAUGCAUUUCUGAGUGC
This 162-nucleotide long non-coding RNA is filed under the name Lynx canadensis (Canada lynx). RNAcentral describes it as "lncRNA (ENSLCNG00005015680.1)". Lineage: Eukaryota; Metazoa; Chordata; Mammalia; Carnivora; Felidae. The record is from RNAcentral.